RNAcentral lists this ribosomal RNA (484 nucleotides) under uncultured bacterium. Its description in RNAcentral is "partial 16S ribosomal RNA". It matches the Rfam family "Bacterial small subunit ribosomal RNA", at positions 30 to 507 of the family's 1533-position model. The record is from RNAcentral.
AUUGAACGCUGGCGGAAUGCUUUACACAUGCAAGUCGAACGGCAGCACGGGGGCAGCCCUGGUGGCGAGUGGCGAACGGGUGAGUAAUACAUCGGAACGUGCCCGGUCGUGGGGGAUAACGUAGCGAAAGUUACGCUAAUACCGCAUACGAUCUGAGGAUGAAAGCGGGGGACCUUCGGGCCUCGCGCGAUCGGAGCGGCCGAUGUCCGAUUAGGUAGUUGGUGGGGUAAAGGCCUACCAAGCCGACAAUCUGUAGCUGGUCUGAGAGGACGACCAGCCACACUGGGACUGAGACACGGCCCAGACUCCUACGGGAGGCAGCAGUGGGGAAUUUUGGACAAUGGGCGCAAGCCUGAUCCAGCCAUUCCGCGUGCAGGACGAAGGCCUUCGGGUUGUAAACUGCUUUUGUACGGAACGAAAAGGCUCUGGCUAAUACCUGGGGCUCAUGACGGUACCGUAAGAAUAAGCACCGGCUAACUACGUG